Molecule: ribosomal RNA, 492 nt
Filed under: uncultured bacterium
Lineage: Bacteria
Description: partial 16S ribosomal RNA
Rfam family: Bacterial small subunit ribosomal RNA
Source: RNAcentral
AGUGAACGCUGGCGGUAGGCCUAACACAUGCAAGUCGAACGGCAGCACAGUAAGAGCUUGCUCUUACGGGUGGCGAGUGGCGGACGGGUGAGGAAUACAUCGGAAUCUACUUUUUCGUGGGGGAUAACGUAGGGAAACUUACGCUAAUACCGCAUACGACCUACGGGUGAAAGCAGGGGAUCUUCGGACCUUGCGCGAUUGAAUGAGCCGAUGUCGGAUUAGCUAGUUGGCGGGGUAAAGGCCCACCAAGGCGACGAUCCGUAGCUGGUCUGAGAGGAGGAUCAGCCACACUGGAACUGAGACACGGUCCAUACUCCUACGGGAGGCAGCAGUGGGGAAUAUUAGACAAUGGGCGCAAGCCUGAUCCAGCCAUACCGCGUGGGUGAAGAAGGCCUUCGGGCUGUAAAGCCCUUUUGUUGGGAAAGAAAAGCAGCAGGUUAAUACCCCGCUGUUCUGACGGUACCCAAAGAAUAAGCACCGGCUAACUUCGUG